CCAGAGAGCUCGUAGGGGAGGACAGUCAAGGGACUCAAGCGUCUCUCUUGACUCCCCUUCUCUCGCUGUGCAGUGGCGGUGCCGAGGGGCCGACGCUCAGGGCUAAUCUCUAUCAGUCACCCUCGAGGCCCCGGGUAAUAUUGGGUGGAUCACAAGAACUAAUCUUUCAUGAUUUGGAAACUGGAAGGAAAGAAGCACUUUUGUAGCUGACUCACCUCAAUGGCAUGACCAGUGUCUGAGCCUACAACUGCGCUACCUUCUCUGGAUUUUUCUUCACCUUUUCCUCAUUCACGAGCCAGGACGUGAACCCAGAGCCUGCCCGGAUGCAAAAGUUGCUGUAACACUGAAUCCCUCCCACCCUAUGCCAGUGCUGGGUGGCUGUCCCAUGUGAUGGGAAGUGGUGGUGGGGCCAGGCCAGCCCAGGAGCCAUCAUGGGCCAGAGUGGGGCAGUGGGACCGAACAAGCUAUAACACAAAUGAGCUGAAACAUGUUCCUGGCUGGCCCGCCAAGCUGCCAGCAGUGACAUGUACCCAUCUGCCGGACCACAAGACAAGAGCUGUGACCCUUCUGGGGACCCAGACCUCGGGACUCCCUGAGUCAGAGCUGUGACAUGCUGUAACACCCCCUUGGGGCUAUGUGGUUGCUCGUGCCUCUGAGUUUUCAGGCACCACUGCAUUCCCCCUGUCCAGAUGCUGAUGCCUGGUCCAGCUACAGCCCCUCACAGAACUCAUGCCUGUGCUGGUGCCUGGAGCUGCCCGCUCCACUGUAGCAGCUGGCACGCCUGGCUGUGCAUCAUGGCUGGACCCUACACUUGCUCACUCACACACCCCUUGCCACUCUGUGCCUGGCUUGUCUGCAGUGGGCGUGGGAUCUGGGCCUGUAGUGCAAGCUAAGUACAGCCUGCCAGGCUGAGUGGGUGGAGCCAGCCCAGCAGUCACAAGCGAAACUCAGGCAGAGGCACCACUGGCCACAGAGGUUACCGAACGAAUCAUGUGUCACUACUGUUAGCGGUGCCUAAUUUAUACAGGUCUGCAGCAACUUCAGUUCUUGCCUUCUAAGAAGAGAGAAUUCAACUGAGGUGGGUCAUAAGGCAGAGUGAGAGACUGAGGCAAGUUUUAAGCAGGAAUGAAAGUUUAUUAAAAAGUUUUAAGUAGGAAUGAGAGGAAGUAAAGUACACUUGGAAGAGGGCCAAGCAGGUGAUGUGAGAGAGUCAAGUGCCCAGUUUGACCUCUGACUUACAGUUUUGUAUGUUCUAGCAUCUUCUGUCCCUUCUCACCUGAUUCUUCCUUUGGAGUGGGCUGUCGGCAUGCACAGUGGCCUGCUAGCACAUGGGAGGGACCACAGGCACAGUGUGUUUACUGGAGUUGUAUGCAUACUCAGGUGAGGCAUUCUUCCCUUACCAGUUGAGUGUUCCUAGAGGGAGGUCAUAUACCAGUUAAACUCUGCCAUUUUGGCUCUUAACGCACGUGCUUGAGACCACUCACCCAAUUCCUGAGAUCUUAUGGGAAAGCUGCUGAUGACCAGUUGCAGUUUUUUCCAUCUAUUGGGAGACUGCCUUUCUCUGGUGCCGGCUGCGACCCAUUAGUAUUUUGGAGAGACGGUUAACAACCACCUGACUAUCACCUGAUGGUUGCCUAAUGUUCGUAGGGGGGCGUCUCUCCUACCCUGCUCAUGUCUGCCUGACUACCUAAUGUAACACUACUUUAAAUUAUUAUUCUGGUUGAUUUCUUAGCCCCAAAGAUGAAUCAUCCCUCCUCCUUUCUUAUUUCCCAAAACAUUACUAACACAGGGUUAUUUUGUGUAGUACUUUUUAAAAAAUUAGAGAUAACCUAAGAGGCCACCGCACUGCACAAAAUGGGGAUCAUCUUAAAGUUCAGUGUUAGGCAGCAUUGCCCCUGGCUAUUUCCAUCACAAGGAAACAGCCUUCUUUCUCUUGAGCCCCCUCCUGCUGGCUUGUUGCUGGCCCCUCCUCUUCUUCUUGUUUAUUGUACAACAAAACCACCCAGGCAAAGCUUAAGAUUUGCUGGUACUUUAACUUGCAGAGAAAUUUGACUGCCUCCCUCAACCUCCUGCCCAUAUCAGAAUAGAGGCCUUUGUAUGCUAGAGUUUCCAAUACCAAAUAAUGGCAACAAUAAUAAAUAGUGACAACAUUUUAUAUUAUAUUUUACUUUAAGUUAUAGCAAAGCAAAUUUUGAGUAGGGCUCUCUUCCCACCAACAAGAUUCUUGGGAUCUUAUCGUUUGUGGGGAGAAAUCUGGAAACUGUAUUAUAAUAGACACCCUUUUAUCUGAUAUUAUUGAAUUAUUAGUAGGGUAACUAUUAACAAUUAAUUGAACAGUCAGUUAAUGCAGAGAUUCAUAAAAUGAUAUCUUAUGUUUUAUAUUUUAUUAAAAUGUGUAACCUGUU
This 2405-nucleotide long non-coding RNA is filed under the name Pongo abelii (Sumatran orangutan). Its description in RNAcentral is "lincRNA". Lineage: Eukaryota; Metazoa; Chordata; Mammalia; Primates; Hominidae. The record is from RNAcentral.